This 251-nucleotide ribosomal RNA is filed under the name uncultured prokaryote. Its description in RNAcentral is "partial 16S ribosomal RNA". It matches the Rfam family "Bacterial small subunit ribosomal RNA", at positions 525 to 775 of the family's 1533-position model. The record is from RNAcentral.
ACGUAGGGUGCGAGCGUUAAUCGGAAUUACUGGGCGUAAAGCGCGCGCAGGCGGCUCUAUAAGACAGAUGUGAAAUCCCCGGGCUUAACCUGGGAACUGCAUUUGUGACUGUAGGACUUGAGUGCGGUAGAGGGGGGUGGAAUUUCACGUGUAGCAGUGAAAUGCGUAGAGAUGUGGAGGAAGACCGGUGGCGAAGGCAGCCCCCUGGGUCGACACUGACGCUCAUGCGCGAAAGCGUGGGGAGCAAACAG